AUCUCUUUUGGAUUUUGAUGGGCAUUUUUUUCCUUCAUGCAGAAGGUGUGAAAAUUAACUAAGUUGUGGUACAACUAUGAGAUGCUGCACCCUCAGGUAAAAAACCGGUUUGUAUUGUUUUGAUUGUCCUUAAUUGACAUGGACAAGAGGUAUCUUCACAACUAUAGGUGAGUUAAAGAGUUUAUCUGAGUCAGCUGUGAGUGGACAGUAUCAAAGUAAUUCAGGUGUUUGUUUAUUUUUGCACCUUCUGCAGAAAGGAAAAAA
This 264-nucleotide long non-coding RNA is filed under the name Mytilus galloprovincialis (Mediterranean mussel). The record is from RNAcentral. Lineage: Eukaryota; Metazoa; Mollusca; Bivalvia; Mytilida; Mytilidae.